GACGAACGCUGGCGGCGUGCUUAACACAUGCAAGUCGAACGGAAAGGCCCUGCUUUUGUGGGGUGCUCGAGUGGCCAACGGGUGAGUAACACGUGAGUAACCUGCCCUUGACUUUGGGAUAACUUCAGGAAACUGGGGCUAAUACCGGAUAGGAGCUCCUGCUGCAUGGUGGGGGUUGGAAAGUUUCGGCGGUUGGGGAUGGACUCGCGGCUUAUCAGCUUGUUGGUGGGGUAGUGGCUUACCAAGGCUUUGACGGGUAGCCGGCCUGAGAGGGUGACCGGCCACCUGGGGACUGAGAUACGGCCCAGACUCCUACGGGAGGCAGAAGUGGGGAAUAUUGCACAAUGGGAGGAAGCCUGAUGCAGCAACGCCGCGUGCGGGAUGACGGCCUUCGGGUUGUAAACCGCUUUCGCCUGUGACGAAGCGUGAGUGACGGUAAUGGGUAAAGAAGCACCGGCUAACUACGUG
This 468-nucleotide ribosomal RNA is filed under the name uncultured bacterium. Its description in RNAcentral is "partial 16S ribosomal RNA". It matches the Rfam family "Bacterial small subunit ribosomal RNA", at positions 28 to 507 of the family's 1533-position model. The record is from RNAcentral.